This 333-nucleotide unclassified non-coding RNA is filed under the name soil metagenome. Its description in RNAcentral is "partial contains 5.8S ribosomal RNA, internal transcribed spacer 2, and large subunit ribosomal RNA". The stretch from base 1 to 121 matches the Rfam family "5.8S ribosomal RNA", at positions 35 to 154 of the family's 154-position model. The record is from RNAcentral.
GAUGAAGAACGCAGCGAAAUGCGAUAAGUAAUGCGAAUUGCAGAAUUUCCGUGAAUCAUCGAAUCUUUGAACGCACAUUGCGCCCGCCAGUAUUCUGGCGGGCAUGCCUGUUCGAGCGUCAUUUCAACCCUCAAGCACAGCUUGGUGUUGGGACUCGCGUUAAUUCGCGUUCCUCAAAUUGAUUGGCGGUCACGUCGAGCUUCCAUAGCGUAGUAGUAAAACCCUCGUUACUGGUAAUCGUCGCGGCCACGCCGUUAAACCCCAACUUCUGAAUGUUGACCUCGGAUCAGGUAGGAAUACCCGCUGAACUUAAGCAUAUCAAUAAGCGGAGGA